UCAAGUUUACCCAUUAAACUUCUGUAUUUUAUGGUGGUGUUUUUUUUUUUAAUUACUUAUAAUACACAGGUAUUUUGUCCUUGCGACCAUCAAACUGAAUACCUGAAAUGAGGUUUGACCUGCUUGAUUUGAAAUACUGCCUUUAAUAAUAUAUUACUCUUGAUUGAAUGUAAUUAAACAGAUGAAUUUAAGUUAGUGAGAUUUGGCUUUGGAGUUGCACAGCUAUGAAAACAAUUUAUUUUACCUUUGAUAGUUAGUUUGAACUUCAGUCAGUGUGCAUGGGUUUUAUUGACUAGAUACUGAAACCUUCAGUUAUGAUUUAUUUAUUUUUAUUUGCAAUUUGAUUGGAUUAGUCCCACUAAGGCAACAGCUUACUUGAGAGACACUGAGGUUGUUUAUAUAUUGAUUAGAAGAAAUUUAUGAACUGUAGUAGUGAAGAUUACUUCUCAUGCUCAAUUGCAGUGUCCUAUUAUCCUGGGUGCUUUGUAGACUAGAGAGAAUCCCUGUGACCUGUGAGGAAAAAGAACACAAAGAAGAGUAAAUUGUGAAGCUAAUCCUACUGGUAAAACAAACCUGACAUUACGACUUCUUUCCACAUUCAUUUCUUGUCAGAUGAGCACAUUACGGUAGGCAGUUCUGACAAUGGCCUGAUAUUGCCCCAUGGAAAAAUACAGGCAUGAAUAUCCUCUCACAGUCGAGCACUGGCUUUAAGCAUGUUGUUUUGUGCUGGAAACCAUUGUGUAACACUUUGUUUUCACUUGUCUGUUUGUAUAGCGUUACAAUCAUCCUUUCUUCAUUUUUGAGUGACCUGCUAUGCGUGCUUUCAAGAAAUAUUUGUAGCAUGCGACUGCAUACAGAUGGUGUAUAUGUUAAGUGAGCAUCUGAGAGUAUUGGCCUUAGCUUCAGCAAAAUGAAUGAAAGUAAGCUUUGAUGAAAUUCUACAAAUCACCACCACCUGUCAGUUGCUUACGUUUGCUCCAUGUAUUGUAGAUGUCAAGAAGAAAGUUGAGGAAGUCCUCGGAGUGCUUGACCCAGUGAGACUGGGUACAGUCCAUGAUGGAUCACGUCUACUGGUCGCUCUUGCAUGCAGGCCUUGAGGACACCAAUACCAACUCAGUCUUAACUACAUAAAAUUGUGUCUGCAUGUUCAUACCAAACUUCAGCAGUGGAAGCCUUCCAUUGAGGGGAAGCUUUUUGUUUUUUAACCAAAAGGCAUAUACAGGUUUUUUACUGAUCAUCUGUUCACCCUGUGGAAGGCCCAUCCUCUCCUACAACAUGCUAGCUAAGUGGUGCCAUUGCUACAAAAGUCUUUGCCUGCAUCAAAAUGCAAACUACAGAUCAAGCACUUCAGCGAUAGUGGAGCAGAUUGAAAUGUGGAAGCCUGCUGGGCAGAUGAGCAGGAACUGACCUUGUGCAAAGCAUUACCCUUACCAUACAGCAGUAAAGCACCCUUCACCCAUGAACCUGUGGCUUUCUUGUACAAUCAUACAUGUACAUCCGUGUCAUUAUUGAGCAAGUUGGUGCCAGUGCUUUGUUGGGCGUGUAUGGACUUAGACAACAAAAUCCUCUAAUAAGAGGGCCUAUUUGGAAAGGUAAGGAAUACUUUGGAAGUCACUUUUCUGCAAAGUAGAUUGAUCUUUAAGUAUGUUAUAUGUGACUCGUGUGGCAGCUCCGAUAUUUGUAGCAGUGGUUCUGCACUACAAAAACAGUAUAUUAGCUGCAUACGCACUUCCUUUACUACAUGGAAUGGUAGCAUGUUUGUUUCUUCUUUGUAAAGAAUCUGAAGUCAAUGAUCAACUUUCAUGAAGCUGACUGGUUUAAAAGUGUCAUUGCUCCUGCUAACCACCUGUAUUAGAGACCAGUCGCACUACUGCUCUUUCAGUACAUGUUACUGUUCCAUACUCUAGUGAUAUAGACAAAAUGUAUAAUAGUUAAAAUGACUGCACUCAAUUUCAAACAAAUUAUAGCAGGAAUAUGAUUCCAUCAUUGUGGAGCACUGAAUGGUAUAGUCAUAGGGAUAAUGUACCAUGGG
Long non-coding RNA from Protopterus annectens (West African lungfish), 2032 nucleotides. RefSeq lists it as uncharacterized. The transcript is spliced from 5 exons. The record is from RefSeq and is a predicted model, not a curated record. Lineage: Eukaryota; Metazoa; Chordata; Ceratodontiformes; Protopteridae.